This is a long non-coding RNA of Zingiber officinale, 199 nucleotides long. RefSeq lists it as uncharacterized. The record is from RefSeq and is a predicted model, not a curated record. NCBI's taxonomy places the organism in Eukaryota, Viridiplantae, Streptophyta, Magnoliopsida, Zingiberales, Zingiberaceae. The transcript is spliced from 3 exons.
ACUGCUAUCGCUGAUGACCGUUCCCUCCAUUGCCUGUUGACAGUCUAUACAUGGAAGAAGUGCACGUUAAGUUUGGAGAGGAAUUAUGCUUCACUGUUGGAGGUCAGCAUAUUCCUUUUGGUGCAUCACCACAGAAUAUCUGGACUGAACUUGGACCUCCUUGUAGAAUCUAUCAGAAGCAAAUAAUUCUACUGUUCAG